CUCUCUCACUCUCACCUUUUCUUACCAACGCUGCCUCGCUUUCUCUCUAUAUCUGCGCUUCCCUAGUUAAGAUUUCUUUUUUUUUUGUUCGUCUACCCUUUCACACAAAGCCGCUUUCUUCACCCCUUGCGUCCAUCUGUCCCUCCCCCUCUGCCGCCUCCCCCACACACCGGCACCACAUCUCACAUAACAUGUGAGCUGAUCAUCAUCGCACCUCGUAGGAGCACUCGUACUUUGGCCACUACCCCCAUCCACCCGCCAUCUUUAUCUCGCAAGCGCGGCAAUACGGCAGCUAAAAGGCAAAAACAAAAAUGCAGAACUCCGUAGGCGACGUGAUCAACCUCAUCAGCAAGAGUGAGAUCCGCUAUGAGGGUCAGCUGCACUCUAUCAACACUGAGGAAAACACCGUGAGCCUGUCGAAUGUGCGUAUCUACGGUACCGAGGGCCGCAAGGGCGGCGGCGUGGAAGAGGUGCCGCCAACGGAGCAGCUGUUCGAAUUCAUCGUGUUCCGCGGCUCCGAUAUCAAGGACCUGACGGUCUUCCGCGACAGCAGCUCUCCGCAGGCGCGCGACCCUGCUAUUGUGGAGGUGCACGCCCCAGCGCGCGGUCGUGGAGGACGCGCCGCAGCCGCGGCUCCUGCAGCUUCGGCGACGGCGGCGAGCAGCGCUGCCACUCGUGGCAGCCGCUCCUUCUACGACGAGGCUCAGUCGUACAACCGCGGUGGCGGUGGCGGUGGCGCGCGCCGUGGUGGCUACGGCGCCGGUCGCUACAAUAACAAUAACGGCGGCGGCAACAACAACAGCAACAACAACCGCAAUCACCGCGGCGGCUACGGCGGUCGCGGCGGAUCGGGCAACUACCGGCGCAACUACCGCGACUACCACACCGGCCAGGACUUCAAGCCCGCGGACGUCGGCGCAACGGAGAAGUUCGAGGGAGAUUUCGAUUUUGCCAAGUGCCGCGAGGAGUUCGAGAAGAAAAAGAGCGAGUUCGAGAAGGCCAAGGAGGAUGCCAAAUCUCACGCCAAGGCCUACGACAAGAGCAGCUUCUUCGACACCAUCUCGUGCGACCAGAAGGAGAAGAACAGCAUGAAUCGUGCCGAAAUGCGCAAGGCGGACACCGAGACCUUCGGGUCAGAGAUGGUGAGCAGCAUGCGCGGCUUCCGUCGCGGCCGCGGCGGUCGUGGACGCUACCAGCAGCGUUGAGCGCGCUAGCGACACUGAGCAUAGAGGAGGGAGAGGAUGGAGUGUGUGGAAGAGUGCGAGAGCGGUGCCAAGGGCACCGGCUCGUCGUCAUCUGCCUCCUCGCGCACAGCGAAACGUGGAUGCGCUGAUGGCGACACGAAAAAUGCAAAAAAAAAAGGUUACUUGUACCACCCACCUCCUUCUGUGCUUGGCUGUCGUCCUCCUCGCGCACAUGAAUGGCAUUACACGCUAAACUGCGGCGCUGAUAACACAUUGAGAAGCGGAGAGAGAAAAACGGAAAGUGCUAUGGCGCACACUGCGUGCAGUAGCUGCAGCCGGCGAGGAUGGUCCGGACGGGACAUAGGUGCGAGACGCAGAAGCGAGGAGUACAGAUUCUGAAGCGAGAAGGCGAGGGAGAGGCCGAGGGACGAAGGAGGGGGGAGGGAACAUGUCGGACCCUCCUGACGGUCUUGGAUGAUCUUUUUGCACCCUCGCUUCUCUCUCAGUGCUGGCGCUCUAUCUCGCCCGUCUCUCCCACCCCUCGCCACGUGGUUCGCUGUGCCUCAUCCGUUCUCUGGAAGACUCUCCCUCGACGCCCAUGCAAUGCCGAGCCAGAGAGAGGGAAACAAAGAAGGAUCACGUCGGCGUCGACUGUGACAUACGUGUAUGCGUCCCUCACCUUGCAUAAGCACACACACACACACACACUUAAACACAACCUAGCCUCUCUACAUGUAUGCCGAACUGGCAUUCCCACGUACGCACCCCCGACCGGAGCAGCAUGCGACAACAACAACAACACAUCCGUGCAAGAUGCAUUUUUGAGGUGCUGUGCGCACCUCUUAUUUCUACACGCCUUUUUUUUGUUUGGCUUCUUUGUUGUUUCUGUUUUCUCCCUUCCUCUUUUUCUCACGUGUGUGAGGCGGUUCUCCACCCCCACCCCAUCCCAUGGACUCCAUGUGUGCUCCUCUUGUCAUCUUUUUCUCCCCAUCUCUCUGGACGCCUUCUUUGCAUCUCCCGCCGCACUCGCUGUGCGCCUGCGUGAAUGCGCUGCCCACCUGAGUGCGUUUCUCACCGCCACCACAGCAGAGCGGGAGCAGGGCAAGAAAACAACGAGAGAAGCGGAGUAAUAAGCAAGGGAUGACUGUAUCGCUCAGUUCCACCACCGCCUAGCGUCGCUCCUUCAUUUCGUUCCUCGCCGGCGUCACUGCCUUACCGCCGUCGAGGUUUUCCUCUCUUCCACCUCCUCUCCUUGGCCCGCGCUCUCUCUCUCGUUUUAUUUUAUUUUGUUGUUGGGUUGUCUCUCCUCUUCUCUCGCUCUUGUCCGUGGUGCGCCCCUUCUCGUCGUAGUUGCUCAUCUCGCUGCCCUCCCCUUCCCUCCCUUUCUCUCGCCGUCCGCCUUAUUUCCUCCUCUCCUUUGUUUGUUUCUUCGACAUGAACGUGUGGGGUCUUUUACGUUUCUUUUUUUUAUGUUGCGCCCACGUGUGCGUGUGCGUUUUGUUCGCCUCCCUCACUUGUGCAUGUGUUGUGUGUGUGUGUUUCUGUUUUUCAUAGUUUCCAUUUAUGUGUUCUUCCUCGUCUUAUCAGUCUUUCAUCUCUUCGCUUUCUUUGUGUGGUUUCGUAUCGCAACACCAUUACCGCCACCGCCACCAUUGCCACCGGUACCGUCUCUCCUUCCUCUCUCUCUCUCUCGAUCGUCUAUGCCCAUAUGGUUUCGUGUGUGUGUGUGUGUGUGUGCGCAUGCGUGGGUGGGUGAAUGCCGGAGCGCGUGUCUGCGUGCUGUCUUGCUGUUUUUCCCCCUUUUUCCCCUUUGAUUGGGUGCGUUUGCGGCAUUUUCUUUCUCUUUUUCUCUCGCACGCACACGCGCACGCUCUCUUUCUCCCUUUCCUGUUCGAAACAAACACCAAAAAAAAGGAAGAAAGGCGGAGCGAGAAGAGCGCUUCGCUCGCCCUGCCUCGCUUUCCCGUUCUUUGCUUGCACGCCCCUCCCCCCUCCUCCUCCUCCCCUUUCCUUUGGUUUAUAUAUAUAAAUAUGUUUUGUUGUUUGUCUUUCUCUCGUCUUUCCGCCUUUUUUUUUUGUUUCGUCGUAGGACUCUUCGGCUGCAUGCGUUUUCUGCUUUUUUUUUGUGCUGGACUUGUAUGGUUUACUUGCCCCACUCUCUCUCUCUCUGUGUGCGCAUGCGUGCCUGCGGCAGUUUGCGCUCGCGAGCGAGUCUCCAUGAUCUGUUUGCUUCUCCGUCCAUACACAUACGCACGCACAUACACUCGGCACCGUGUUUAUACGCGCGUACUUCCUCACACAUAUUUCGUGGCAGACCCGAGCAGACGCAUCGAUAAGGACGGAAGAAUCCCCCUCCCUAAAGAAGAAAAAAGUUGAUAUAUGAAGAGAGUGAGCCUUGAGAGAGAGGGAUAUACUUACGCUACUGUGGCGAGGAAGUCCUUGCCCCUCCUUCCCCCUUCCGCCCUUUCCAGAAAGGGCGAAAGGAAAAAAAGACGUGGGGCGGCCAUAAAGAGAAAGAGAGCGCGAGAGCACGAGAGAGCGAGAGCCCAACGAAACAAGCGAAGGGCAAAGGUACGGAUGCAACCAAACAAAAUAUAUAAUACCCAUCGGAGGAGGACGAGGAGCCACGAGCAGUCGUGAUUCAUGUGUGCGUGUGAGCCUGUCUGUCUGUAUUGACGAGGACGUGAAGAGCGCACGGCGAUGUGUUGUUGGAGUCUGUGGGGGGAUUUUUUUCACUUUUCUUGUUGCUUCACAGUGUACCGUACCCCCUCUUCCUCUUGUGUUUGUCGUUAUCCCUUGAGCAACUGGCCACUUAACUUCCAACCUUUCCACACGGACCGCCUUCCUCCUGCUCGCCUCCGCACACCAACGUACAUACCCGACCAAGGCCAUCCAGGCACGUGCCCGACAAAAACGAAAGAGACACGGGGGGAUCUACAAGUAAACACAGUUACAUGUACGCGGUUCCUGCCUCUGCGUGCAUGUAAUUAAGUGUUCGUAGGCCUGUUAACACGUCUGCGCCUGAUUCUUUCUUACCGUACGCGUGUGUGUGGAGGCGUGUGCACGCACCUCUGUGAUUGUGUAUGUGCUCUUGCUCAAGAAAAAGGAGCGGAUCUGCGUGGGUGAGUGGUCUGGGUGCAUGCGCCGCGCUUCAGUAUGUGUAUGCUUGUGCAUAUGCAUGGCUGCGCAAGAUAAAAGGACUACGUGCGUAUGUGAAUGUGAGCUUGUGUGGUCGUGUGCGCCCGUGUGUGUCUGCACAACGUUGUGUACAUGCUGUCUUACUGCCGAACUCUUUUCCCCCUUGCCCGUUGCCCUGGUGCCGACGUCGAAAGAGGAGAGAAUGGUGGCGAAUCAGUCGAGCGGGUAGUAGUAAUCGGAUAACGGCGGUGCCUGGCACGUACUGUUAGAGAGGCUGUGACUGGCUCCUUCUUCAGUAUGCUGCCCUCCUGCCCCUCUCCGGAUGCGCGCACGGGUUGGACGGUUGGCUGCGUUGAUGCCUCUGCAUCUGUUGCGUAGUCCCUGUGUGUGCGCAGAUACAUGUGUGCAUGCGUGUGUGCGCGCUCGUUUCUUUAGCAAGGGAAAACACAAAGAGAAAAGCGGCCGACGAGGGAAAAACAGAGAGAAGACGAGAAUGCGGAGCAAUAAUGGAACACACGCACACACACAAAAGCAAGAAUUUCGGGAAGAGAAAAAGAGAGAUGAAAGCGAUCUGAAGGAGACGUGCGAAUUUUGAUCUCUUUUUGUGUAUAUACAUAUAGAUAGACGUGUGUGUGUGUGCUUAUCUGGUGUUCCCUCUACCACCAUAGAUGUCCGCCGAAUACACACACACACACACACACACACUCAUCCUCAUCUCUCACGGAGACCAUUAUCUCGACAUGCAGCCGAAUGAACGGAAAAGGAAAAAAAGGAAAUCCGGAUCUCAGUCUUCCAUCGUCGGCUGUGCCUUCUUCAUUUUUUUCCCCCGCUUGCCCCUCGAAAACACGCACGCACACGCGCGCACAAUGACACAUAGGCGUGCAUGAAUGCUUAGGCAACCGUGUGCUUGUGCGUGUUCUUUUCUUGUUUUCUGUCUUGUCUUGCUCGUUUUCUCUUGCAUUCCCCUCCUCUUCUCCUCAGUUGUGAAUGCGCCUCUGCCCCCACACGCACACACUAGUGCCGACUGUGUCGUCUACACCCCACACCCCGAGUGUGUCUCUCUUUCUCUCGCUUUUUUUUUGCGUGUGCUGGUAUGUGUUUUGUUUGUGUGCGAGUUUCUCGUUUUCUUUGUGUUGUUGUUAGUCCCCCUUUUUUGUUUUAUUAUUAGCUUCCAUUUGCCUUUUUCGAAUUCUUUUUUUUCGUCGCUUCCUGCGUUGUUGUUGUUGGGUUGUCUCUGUCUCUGUGUCUGUGUCUGCCUGUGUCUGUCUGCGUGUGUGUGUGUGUGUGCGUGCACGGCUGUCUGGUAGGCCUCAUCUCCUCUGUUCACGUUUUCGCACCUCCUCUUUUCCUCUGCAUCUUUUCGUUUUGGUAUGUGCGCUUUCUCAAAAAAAAAGCGGAAAAAUGCAGCCAAACGACGUCUCUCUCUGUGUUUGCCCGUGCGUCUAUAAGUGCGCGCUCCUUUUUUUUUGUGUACCGGGUGAUCGCCACGCUGGGACGGUUGGCAGUACUUUGCGCGUGUGUGUGGUGCCGCGUGUGCUGACGUUCUCCAUAUAUGAAUGCGCAGUUUUUUUUUUGUUGUUGUUCUUUUACCUUGACGUUGCUCCACCUUACAACUCUUUUUUUUUUUCAUUUUGUUUUGAGUGCCGGCUCGAUGACCUCAACAUACUGCAAUGCAUCCACGCGCUCCUCUCGCUCUGUGUCUUCCAACUUCCCACGCGAGGCGAACGCUGUCGACGGAAGAGUGUUUAGGGGAGAGAGAGUUGCGUGAAGGUGGUGAGGGGAGGGAGGGGGAGAGUCUCUUCCCUUUCUCGUCUUGGUCGCUCAUUCGCAUCGACGCACCAGCGCACACACGCACGCGCAUGCAACCGUCAUGGCGGGAAAAAACGCUCCUACGAUACAUCCACUUGCCCACAAAGAGGAGUGGAGGCGCGAGCGGGAGAGACGGAGAGGCAGAAAGGGAGCGCGCUUGGGCGACACUGGUCAAGUGGUUCAACACACACACAAACACACAUACACACGCGUACAAACACAAAGAGAGAGAGAGUAAUGGCGUGCCGCCUUCAUGCGCGCACAAACGGAGAGAGCGGGGGCAAGAGGGAGUAGACAGGGCUCAAGUAUGAAAAACCUGUACCUCUACCCCCAGUGGAACCGCAUUCUCUCGGACAUCAAUGCAGAAGUAUUUAAACACACCCGCGCACGGACUCGCACGAGCACACGAAAACACUUGGAAAUUUCGCAGAUGUCAAGGGCACACGGCGACAGGACGCAGAGGAAGAACGAAGGUCAAGACCGCACAGUAAACAAGGGCGCAAGUAAAACUGGCAGCACGGGCUUCGAUGAGCAAAGACGGAGAAAGACGCUAAAAUGUAUGUAACUGUUUAAGCUCAGAAUGAAGAGAAAAAGAAAAAAGAAAGCGCUGCACUGCAUCCGACCUUUCUCAUGUCUUCGUCUUUCUUUGUUCUUUCUAUCGUUCUCUGUGUGUUUGUCUGUGCGUGCGUGCGGUGUGUGCGUAUGUGUGCGCAUCCGUGUAUACAUGCAUGUGUGUGCGUGUGCGCGUGUAUUCUCGUGAGAGGCCGAUUCUCUGCGAGUCCCAUGUUUCCUUUUUUUCGUCGUUGUUUGGUUUCCUUUUUUUUGUUGUUGUGCCGUGGGGUCACUCUUUGUUUGUUUCUUCCCAUUUGUUUUCCGUGUUUGAUGUUCACGAGAGAGAGGAGAGGGAAACAAAGGAAUGGAGUACGCACAUCCCGUGUUUGAUUAAAACCCCUCCCCCGAUCUGCCCCCCUCCACCUCCAAACAAACAAACCACAAACAACGAAGGCAGAGGCAUGCGUCCUCGAAAAAAAAAAACACUAAACAAGCCGAACAAAAAGGAGCCGAGCAGCGUACAUUCGUUUGCUUUGUGGGAGUCUUCAUCGACAACCCGACGUGAGUUCUCGGCUGCGGUUGGUCGGGCCGCGCCAGGCAGGUACCGCGUCGGAUGCCGGUGAUGAAGACUGGGCGAAAAGGGUAGAUUGAUCUCCCCCAUUCUCUCUCGCGCUUUCUCGGACACGGACUCUCUGCAGAUGACCCUGUCCAGGAAGCGGAGGGAAGCCACAGAUACGAGGCUGGCGAGAGGGGCUUGAGGGGAGGGGGACAUUCGCAGCUCCUUCUCUGCUCCUUCCGCUGUGCUUCGCCUUCCGAGAAUACGCUUUAUCUCGAAUGGCUCCGUUGUGCUCUAUGCUCGGGGGUGUCGACUGGUGGCAGAGAGGUCAGCCUUGUCGAUGAUGCGCGUAACGCGCGCGCAAGCGUUCGCC
RNAcentral lists this unclassified non-coding RNA (7612 nucleotides) under Leishmania donovani. RNAcentral's name for it is "gene:LdHU3.25.0660(CDS-product:Scd6-like_Sm_domai n_containing_protein_putative)". Lineage: Eukaryota; Euglenozoa; Kinetoplastea; Trypanosomatida; Trypanosomatidae. The record is from RNAcentral.